RNAcentral lists this ribosomal RNA (353 nucleotides) under uncultured bacterium. Its description in RNAcentral is "partial 16S ribosomal RNA". It matches the Rfam family "Bacterial small subunit ribosomal RNA", at positions 338 to 688 of the family's 1533-position model. The record is from RNAcentral.
CCUACGGGUGGCAGCAGUGAGGAAUAUUGGUCAAUGGGCGUAAGCCUGAACCAGCCAAGUCGCGUGAGGGAUGAAGGUUCUAUGGAUCGUAAACCUCUUUUAUAAGGGAAUAAAGUGUGGGACGUGUCCUGUUUUGUAUGUACCUUAUGAAUAAGGAUCGGCUAACUCCGUGCCAGCAGCCGCGGUAAUACGGGGGAUCCGAGCGUUAUCCGGAUUUAUUGGGUUUAAAGGGUGCGUAGGCGGCCUUUUAAGUCAGCGGUGAAAGUCUGUGGCUCAACCAUGGAAUGGCGGUGGAAACGGGGAGGUGGGAGUGUGUUUGAGGGAGGCGGAAGGCGUGGUGGAGGGGUGAAGUG